ACCUGACUGGCUCAGUAGGUAAAGCAUGUGAUUCUCAAUCUCAGGGUCAUGAGUUUGAGCCUCAUGUGUGGCA
This 73-nucleotide transfer RNA is filed under the name Canis lupus familiaris (dog). It matches the Rfam family "tRNA". From Rfam's summary of the family: Transfer RNA (tRNA) molecules are approximately 80 nucleotides in length. Their secondary structure includes four short double-helical elements and three loops (D, anti-codon, and T loops). Lineage: Eukaryota; Metazoa; Chordata; Mammalia; Carnivora; Canidae. RNAcentral also lists the same sequence under 1 other name. The record is from Rfam by way of RNAcentral.